This 280-nucleotide unclassified non-coding RNA is filed under the name Hevea brasiliensis (rubber tree). The record is from RNAcentral. Lineage: Eukaryota; Viridiplantae; Streptophyta; Magnoliopsida; Malpighiales; Euphorbiaceae.
GCCUUUCCCAACUCAUCUUUCAUCAGAAUCGUUAGAUGACUAGUGAUGAAAAUAAUUGAUGAAAGAUUAUGUUAAUAUCCAUCAUUAAUUCAUCAUCAACAAAAAGAAAAAGCCACAGCCACCAAAUGCAUAACACUUGUGCUGACGUCUAGUUUUCCAUUUCUACAAAUCAAUUUUCCACCAAAACUAAAACCUAACAAAUCAAUUUCUCUCGGUAUAUAUAAUUUUAUCAAAAAAUUCUUGGCUCAGUGACCCACCGUACUCUCAGAAGCACCCCAGC